UACAGGGGUNUCACCAGUAUCACUAACUG
This 29-nucleotide non-coding RNA is filed under the name Mus musculus (house mouse). Lineage: Eukaryota; Metazoa; Chordata; Mammalia; Rodentia; Muridae. The record is from RNAcentral.